This 687-nucleotide long non-coding RNA is filed under the name Panax ginseng (ginseng). RNAcentral's name for it is "long non-coding RNA (PGIN_LNC000717)". The record is from RNAcentral. Lineage: Eukaryota; Viridiplantae; Streptophyta; Magnoliopsida; Apiales; Araliaceae.
GGCCGCAUCUCGAACCUUAAAAUUUGCAGCUUUCAGCUCCCUAACUUGUUGGGUAGUUACUUCUAAGUCCCGUCGCUGGCACUCCACAUCCUAAAAUUUAGCAUUUAGAUCCCGAAGCUGGUCCUCUAAAUCUUGAGACUGAAUCUUCAGUUUGUUUGCGGCUUUAUCAAGCUCAAAAAACUGCACUGAAAAGGAAUCAUCUUCACACUUCCGUACAGCAACCUCCGAACGUAGUGAAAUAAGAUUAAAACUUGAUUUGAGAAGAUCCAACCUAACACGAAAAGGAGACAUGUCAACACCCACAGCUUCAAGGUCGUUUACAUCAUCACUAAACUUCUUCAAGUCCUCGGCUCGCAAGGAAUAUAAAGACAGAGUGUGCAACCCAAGAACAAGGCUUGCAAGCUGGUCUAGGAAGAAGGUUUGGGUGGAAGCUGUCUUAAUAAUCAAUCGGUCAAGUAUCUGCAAAAAACUGAGCUAGGAGACGCUCCAGAUUUUCCUGACUAGGAGAUGAUAUCUGAAAACCCCUCCACGGAAUAAGAUCCCCACUUAGAUUGAAAGAAGCUCUGGCAGAAGCCACUUUAGACACCACCAUAGAAUUUGACAAGACAAGAGAUGGAGGAUCAGAAAGAUGUUGUAUGGCUGAUGAUUCCUCGAAGCCUUGGCCACCUGGAGGAUAACCAAGGUCAC